CCUACGGGAGGCAGCAGUGUGGAAUAUUGGUCAAUGGGCGCAACCCUGAACCAGCCAAGUAGCGUGAAGGAUGACGGCCCUAUGGGUUGUAAACUGCUUUUAUGCGGGGAUAAACUGAGUCACGUGUGGCUUAUUGCAGGUACCGCAUGAAUAAGGACCGGCUAAUUCCGUGCCAGCAGCCGCGGUAAUACGGAGGAUCCGUGCGUUAUCCGGAUUUAUUGGGUUUAAAGGGAGCGCAGGCGGGCCGUUAAGCGAGUUGUGAAAGGCCGCGGCUCAACCGUGGCACUGCAGUUGAUACUGGGGGGCUUGAGUGCGGCGGAGGUAGGCGGAAUUCGUGGUGUAGCGGUGAAAUGCUUAGAUAUCACGAAGAACUCCGAUUGCGAAGGCAGCUUACUGUAGUGUUACUGACGGUGAGGCUCGAAGGUGUGGGUAUCGAACAGGAUUAGAUACCCCUGUAGUC
This 460-nucleotide ribosomal RNA is filed under the name uncultured bacterium. Its description in RNAcentral is "partial 16S ribosomal RNA". It matches the Rfam family "Bacterial small subunit ribosomal RNA", at positions 338 to 795 of the family's 1533-position model. The record is from RNAcentral.